CCUGCCACAGCCCAGAUAGGCCCAUUUAGCAAGCAGCGAGCCUUUAGUGCCCCAGCCAUGUACAGGGCCCACCUACUUCAAGGGGCCUGCUUUCUGGGCUUUCCUACCAGUCGCCCAGUCCCUAGCAUGGAACAAUUCAUCCUCUCGGACUACUCUGUAGCAUUGGACCCAACAGCUGUAUCACAGUGAGCCUAUGUCCUUGCUGCUAGACCUACUAGGAGCAGACUCAAUCUACCUCUGGCCACUGCCUUGCUGCCUUCCCAGACCUCUCCAGUGACAGCUGAUGAGAUGCAUUUCCCCCCUGGGGGACACUCUUAAAGACUUGGAGGUCUCGAAAAUCCAGCUGCCCCACCUCCUGCUGGCGGAUGGCCUCUUCUGUGUGCAGCCUGGUCUCCACCCGUCUCUUCAACAGCCCCCUCACGUCUUCUCCGUCUUCCUCCUCAGGCCAACCCUGCCCUCUUGCUGGCCAGCAGGGCCUCAGGGUCCCAUCACGGUCAGCAUCACCAUGAGCACCAACUCCUCCACCACAGAGGCCCUCACAGCUGGCAGGCUCCCGCCCCCUGCAAUAACCAGUGAAGGAAAAAGAGAAAGUAGCAGGGAGGAAAAGGGGCUGGACUUAACAGGAGGACACAAACAACCCCAGGCUUCAGGGCCAGACAGAGGAUGGCGGGUGAGUGUGGGAGACCUGGCUAGGCUUCUCCUGGGGGCACUCACCGUGGUGGUGGGACUCUGGAAGGACCUUUGUGCAGCAUCAGUGACACUUGGCAACUGCACUCGCCAACCCGGUUCCUGAUGAAGUCAAGGACAAGACAAUAAGGACUACGAGGUCCCCUGGUCAAAGGACCUAUUCAGCUCAGGGUGGGGAGGGGUACAAGGCAAGUGUGAACUUGGUCAUGGGCUCCGCAGAGGAAGGAGGCCUAGGGCUUGGCUGUGGCUUCUACCCCAGACUUAGAUUUAGGGGUAGGGCUCUCACCCUGUGGUCAACUGUGAUUUUUACAGUUCCAGACUGAAAAGAAGGGGGUGGGGGAUGGCAGCAAGAUCAGCAUCUACAAAUGGGAAUCCUCUUCAACACUAUGUGUCGAUCGCUCAAUCUGAGACUAAAGGCUGCUGCGGGGUUGUGAUGAAGCCUCUGGUCUAUGCAGACAGGCCCUGCUCAGAUGGCUGACCUGAUUCUACACUCCCUCAAAGUAAUGACAGCCACUUCCCCGACGGCUGGAUUCUCCUUGAAAACAGCCACAGCUUCCCUUCAUUAAUCAGAACAUUCUGUGUUGAGAACCUAACAAGUGUGUCUCCCAACCUGGGUGGCCCCCUUCUUUUCCUCCUUCAGGUGGGGGGGGCUUUGGAUUCUUUACAAUCACAGAGCUGUUCAGCCUCCAAGGGUGCAUGGCCAGGCUGAGGCCCCUCUUCUCAGGCAGGGGGCUGAAUGGCUAGCCCGGGUGGAUUCAAAGCAGUUGAGCCCCUCUGGCCUGUGAGGCUGCCCUCUGCUGGUGUUUCAAAGCCAUGGCUCGUAAAAGGGCAAGUCUGGGAAUUAAAUGGGUAAGUUCUACCACACCAAGGACUGUUUAUCCAGGACCCUCAGGCCUCCUGACUGCCAUAGGCUUUGUCUCAUUCUCUACUUUGUCACUGUUCUCUUGGUCUGGAAAGUGUCAGGAAGGAGGCCAUGGGGAUUAUGCAAGACAGUGCUGGAAUUCUCAGGUUCCGCAAUUCCCUAGAUUGCCUUAGCAGUGCUGCUGGGUCUGACUGACCCUUCCAGACACCAUGAUAGAUGUGCCAGCUGCCAGCGCUGGACCUCCUCCUUACAAAGCCCACUUCAUUUCGUUUAUGGUUCUAACUGCUUAGAGGCACCACCGCUUACAUAAGGCAAACAGAGUUCAUGAAGGUUAAAUGAUGUGCCUAAACUCAGAGGUAACUAGCAGGGACAGGGGCUGGGACCUAAAUCUACUUACAUAUAAGAUUGUGGCCUGUGUACAGGUCCUAUAUCAUUUAUAUCAGAACCAGUUUGCUCUGGAAUUUUUGUGUAUUUCUUUGUGUCUGUAUGCAUGUGCGCCUUAACCACGAGAGUGGACACCCUCACGUACAUGAGUGUAUGGGAUCGUCUGGUAGGCACCUACAUCUUGAAUCUGGGGAUAGGUGCUUAUGUCUCCUGCUGCCACAGGGGUACAUCCACUCACUUUGUCUGGGACUUCCUCAGACACCAGCAGCCUACAGAGUGGUUCUGCUUCUCAGGGUCUGUGGAUUUGCUCCUUACCCUUGGGCAGGGACCAUGUGAACAAGGAUAGGUCGGUUUGCUUCCUUCCAGCCCCCUCUCCUCCUCCGCUCCACCUUUGUGCUAUACCAGGCUGUGACCAUGUAGAUCCCUCCCUGUGACCUCAUUCCUCUCUCCUCCCUGUCAGCUCCUCUAGUUUGUCCCUUCAUCCAGGCCCGGGUUUUUUUUUUUUUUUUUGACGCUACCAAUUCAAGGCACCUGAAGAGUGCAGGCUACACCUCUGUUUAUAUUUGUGCCAGGUUGUGAGCAUGCUACCCGGGUUCCUGAUUCUGUCAGCCUACAAGGCAUGUUGAGUUAUUAUUUCUCUACUUCACAGUGAUGUUGGCCUGGAACAGAGCAAGAUGCCCAAUGGGUGUUGCUUUGGUAGCUCUUCCCCCCCCCCCCCACCAUCUUCGAGUUUCCUCUUGUCAUAAGGAGGACAAAACACAGGCAUAGAAAUCAGGAGUAGAUACUGACCAGAUGGCCCCACUUUACUAUAGCCACACUCCAGGAGGCUGUGCAUCAGAGAUGGAUAUCCCCAUGGAUCUUGCCAUCGCCUUGAUCUGUCCCCAUGGUGGGGAGCAUGGACAGAGAUAAGCCCCGCCCAAUAUCUCUAGCUCCACCCACCCUGAGGUCUCCAGAUAAGGGGGAAGAACAGAGACACCAUGGCUGGGCCUGGGGGAACAAUACUGAAAGCCUAAGAUGAAAACCUCUACUGGGCCUUUAAGUCAAGUUCAUGUGGAGCCUAUAAAGUUCAGACAGACUCUUGCCUGGGCCCAUUUACCAGUGACCUAACCAGCAGGAAUAGUGUCUUAGAGAUGUCUUUAAUAUUACCCACGCUCCAUCACAAACGGGCUGAGACUGAGGCCCCGCCCUGAUAUGGCCACACAGGACACAGCAGUCACUCUGUAUGCUGCAAACCUGACAAAAAGAUGCUCUCCUUUCUGGAGCCCCGCAUUACAGGGUCAUAUUCUGGUUAGAAGCCUAGCAAUGUGUCCCUCCUCAAAUCACCAUCACACAGGACAAUUUUAUACACAAAAGUAAAGAACUAAUUUUCUGAAAAAAAGUAUCUGUGCUUUCUAACAUCUCAGCUGGAACUUGGCGGUGAAGUGUUGCUAGCUCUCCUCUUGGUCAGAGCUGGCGAAGGGAACGAGAGGUCAAAACUCCCCCAUGCCCACCACUCCAUGGUGGAAGGAACAGAUUGGACCCCUGGGCUGUCUCCCAGCCCCACUCCCCCAGCUUUUCUUCUUGAAAGACCCUCUUCCAUGGGCUAGGUCCGACUUCUGUCAGGACAAAGCAAGUGAGAUGGAACAAGGUCCCUGGCAGGCCUGGCAUGCACUCCUCAGGAGAACUUUCCACUGACUUGCUCCAUUUUUGGCUGGGGACAGAGCCAAGGCCAAGGCAAUGGCCUCCCGGAGGAAUGAGGAAUCUAGGCUUUGGGAGGAAAGGGGGAUGCACGAAGAGGCCAGCAUGGAUUCCUCCCCUAAUUCCCAGUGCAUGGAAAGACACUCCUAAUGACAGGUUGUAAGAAUGGAAGAAAAUCUGAUUGAAGUCAAGAGACAAGGGCUCGAACUUAGGCUCAGCUCGUGGCCAUGAGCAACUCGGUGACCUGAGACCUUGGUGUCCCUCAUUAUUAGAUGGGAAGGCUAGAUAACUCCUGCAUUCCCUGUCAGCUGGGAAUCGUCUACAUUUUAUGACUGUCCCCAGCUGGUCCCAGACAGCCUGCCGCUUGCCCUUCCAGUGUAACCCCCUCUAUGGCCUGGCAAACUUCCUAUAGAUCUUUGCUUUGUGCUCCCUACUCCCUUUCUUUCUUGGCUCAUUUAACAGCCAAGUCCUCCUUCACUGGCCAACCCCCAGCCUUUCUUUUUGCUUCAAAAUCUCACAAAAAGUCGGGAGAUGGAGACAAGAGAAGCCAGAGUCCAAGGUUAUAUAGACUGAGUUUGAGGCCCCCUGUGCAACAGGAGACUAUCUCAAAACCAAACCAGACAAACAAAAUCGCAAAAAAAAAAAAUACCUAUCUCUUAUAGGCUAUCUAGUUGAUUAAUACAAGUCUCAAAGUAUCAUUCCUUCAUUAGGAAGUAUUGUCACAUUAAGUCACUCUCUGCCCUGGUACUGGCCUAGUGAGCAAGGGUGUAGGUUCCUCUUCAUGGAGGCAGAUCUGUCUUUCCUGAUAACGACUUCAAGCUGAAGGCAAAGUCAGUGGACAUCGUGUAGACACAGGGCUGAUGGGACCAGCACGACACGUAUUUGUAAGAGGGUCCUCUGUAACUCAUAUCAGCAGAACUUUGCCUGUAGAGGCAUAACUUCUAAACAGACUCAAAGAUCUCUAAGAGGUAAUAGCUUUCUUUCUUUUCUUUCUUUCUUCUUUUCUUUUGAUUUUAUUUGUUUUAUGUACGUGAGCACACUGUCACUGUCUUCAGACACACCAGAAGAGGACAUCGGAUCCCAUUACAGAAGGUUGUGAGCCACCAUGUGGUUGCUGGGAAUUGAACCCAGGACCUUUGGAAGAGCAGUCAGUGCUCUUAACCGCUGAGCCAUCUCUCCAGUCCUGCUUUAUUAUUUUUUAAGGGUAUUUUUAAAAGUUCACUUAAGCAUUUGGGGGUGGUUUGUUAAGCAGCAGCAGAUAGAUGAUGUGAGUAAAAAGCACACGCUCAGAACUCUGCACGUGCAGUAUUCCAUCACAGCAAAAGCCAUAGCAUGGAGCUUACAGAGCUGACCCUGAGUGAUAGGCUCAGUGUGGGGAAUUGAUAAAGUUCAGAAGGAAGUGACCGGGUCCUCAGGCACCCAUUAAGGCCAUGUCUAACCAUCCUCAGGAGGUGCCACAACCUUACAUUCACAGGUCAGGUCUUAGGCCUCAGAGAAGGCAUUCUGCCCAUCAACUAGGCCUCACUUAGGAUAUUAGGAGAUGGAGUAUUUCAAUAGGGAAAAUUAAUCUCCCUGUGGUUGCUUUAUUUUCACUUUUUACUACUUGUGAUGGCUAAUAUUAUCAAUUUGACAAUUUCUAGACUCACGUAAGAGACUCUUGUCCUACUGUAAGGGAUUGUCUGUAUAAGGUUAAUUGAUUGGGAUGACCUGGGCAGCUCUGCUCCAUGGGCUGGGGGCCUUGGCAGCUCUGUCCCAUGGCUGGGGGCCUAGGCUCAAUACGAAGAAGAGAGAUAGCUGAGCACUGCUGCUCUCCCUCUGCUGCUCUCCCUCUGCUGCUCUCCCUCUGCUGUUCUCCUUCUGAUGCUCUCCUUCUGAUGCUCUCCCUCUGAUGCUCUCCCUCUGAUGCUCUCCCUCUGAUGCUCACCCUCUGCUUCCUGACUGCAGAAGCCUAGAGCUCCUGCUGUCGUGACCUCCCCUCUGUUAUGAACUGUACCCUGAACCGAGACAAAAUGACUCCCGACUCUGAUUUUCAGAGUCUUUUAUCCUGCUCGAACCCAUAGAAGUCCACCCGCCAAGUGCUAGGAUUAAAAGUGUGCACCACGGUCUGCCCUGUAGCAAUUAAAGAAUAUUUUAAGGGGUUGGGGGUUUAGCUCAGUGGUAGAGCAUUUGCCUAGCAAGCGCAAGGCCCUGGGUUCGGUCCCCAGCUCCAAAAAAAAAAAAAAAAAAAAAAGAAAGAAAAGAAAAGAAA
This is a non-coding RNA of Rattus norvegicus (Norway rat), 5858 nucleotides long. The record is from RefSeq and is a predicted model, not a curated record. Lineage: Eukaryota; Metazoa; Chordata; Mammalia; Rodentia; Muridae.